Molecule: ribosomal RNA, 457 nt
Filed under: uncultured bacterium
Lineage: Bacteria
Description: bacterial SSU rRNA
Rfam family: Bacterial small subunit ribosomal RNA
Source: RNAcentral
ACGGGUCCUUCGGGAUGCCGACGAGUGGCGAACGGGUGAGUAAUAUAUCGGAACGUGCCCAGUAGUGGGGGAUAACUGCUCGAAAGAGCAGCUAAUACCGCAUACGCCCUACGGGAGAAAGCAGGGGACCUUCGGGCCUUGCGCUAUCAGAUGAGCCUAGGUCGGAUUAGCUAGUUGGUGGGGUAAUGGCUCACCAAGGCGACGAUCCGUAACUGGUCUGAGAGGAUGAUCAGUCACACUGGAACUGAGACACGGUCCAGACUCCUACGGGAGGCAGCAGUGGGGAAUAUUGGACAAUGGGCGAAAGCCUGAUCCAGCCAUGCCGCGUGUGUGAAGAAGGCCUUCGGGUUGUAAAGCACUUUCAGCGAGGAGGAAAGGUUACUGGCUAAUAUCCAGUAGCUGUGACGUUACUCGCAGAAGUAGGACCGGCUAACUCCGUGCCAGCAGCCGCGGUAAU